UCCAGAGUCCAGGACCUGGCUUGUAUCUAAUGACCUCUCGCUCUCUGCCCACCAGAAAAGUUCCAGGAAGAAAAAUAACAUCACAAAAUGAAGAGGUGGUCCUCAACUUUGGCAGACUGAGGUUGAGUGUGAACGAACUGCGAGUCCCCAUCUGUCAUGAAGAGCACCUGUGCUUCCACACAGACCCUGGAAGGAUGAGAGAAAUCUGUCACGUGCCCCACACCACGCACCUGUCACCUGGCCAAGCUACUGAAGCGCUGUUACACGGCUACAGGGGCGCUGUUGCAUUCGUCUCCUGCAGUCACUCAUGUAAGAAAUGCCUUCUCUCUUAGGCCUCCACAAACUCCUGAAGCUGGAGGGCGGAGGAGUAAGAGCCCGGGGACGCCAAAAUAAACGAGCAGGUGAAAGGGAAAGACCAGGGGCAUGUGAAUGGAAUAAAGUAAAUAUACUUUACUUCGAUGU
This 462-nucleotide long non-coding RNA is filed under the name Rattus norvegicus (Norway rat). Its description in RNAcentral is "long non-coding RNA NONRATT013902". Lineage: Eukaryota; Metazoa; Chordata; Mammalia; Rodentia; Muridae. The record is from RNAcentral.